This 332-nucleotide ribosomal RNA is filed under the name uncultured bacterium. RNAcentral describes it as "bacterial SSU rRNA". It matches the Rfam family "Bacterial small subunit ribosomal RNA", at positions 568 to 898 of the family's 1533-position model. The record is from RNAcentral.
CUUGUAGGCGGUCCGUUAAGUCUGGUGUGAAAUCUCCCGGCUCAACUGGGAGGGGUCAUCAGAUACUGGCGGACUAGAGGUGGGUAGAGGAAAGCAGAAUUCCUGGUGUAGCGGUGAAAUGCGUAGAUAUCAGGAGGAAUACCAGUGGCGAAGGCGGCUUUCUGGGCCUAUCCUGACGCUGAGGAGCGAAAGCGUGGGGAGCAAACCGGAUUAGAUACCCGGGUAGUCCACGCCCUAAACGGUGGAUGCUAGGUGUGGGAGGUGUCGACCCCCCCCGUGCCGCAGCUAACGCUUUAAGCAUCCCGCCUGGGGAGUACGGCCGCAAGGCUAAA